This 272-nucleotide unclassified non-coding RNA is filed under the name plant metagenome. Its description in RNAcentral is "partial contains small subunit ribosomal RNA, internal transcribed spacer 1, and 5.8S ribosomal RNA". The record is from RNAcentral.
UUUCCGUAGGUGAACCUGCGGAAGGAUCAUUAAUGAGUUGUCAUGGGGUUCGAUGCUGGCAGCCAGUUUUUGGAUGCAUGUGCUUGCCCUAACAAUCAUCUUCUUCCAAACACCUGUGCACAUUUUUGAGGGAGUCUUGAGUUGGUUGCCGCUCUUGGGUGAUUUUCUCACAUUCCCUUAAAUCAUUAUACGCUAUUAACAAUGUUGAACGUGCUCUGUGCCGCAAGGCCAUUAAUAUAGUACAACUUUUAACAACGGAUCUCUUGGCUCUC